ACAGCACUGCCUGGUCAGA
This 19-nucleotide microRNA is filed under the name Homo sapiens (human). RNAcentral describes it as "hsa-miR-383-3p". Its record names the gene hsa-miR-383-3p. Lineage: Eukaryota; Metazoa; Chordata; Mammalia; Primates; Hominidae. The record is from miRBase by way of RNAcentral.